This 460-nucleotide ribosomal RNA is filed under the name uncultured bacterium. RNAcentral describes it as "partial 16S ribosomal RNA". It matches the Rfam family "Bacterial small subunit ribosomal RNA", at positions 338 to 795 of the family's 1533-position model. The record is from RNAcentral.
CCUACGGGGAGCAGCAGUGAGGAAUAUUGGUCAAUGGGCGUAAGCCUGAACCAGCCAAGUCGCGUGAGGGAUGAAGGUUCUAUGGAUCGUAAACCUCUUUUAUAAGGGAAUAAAGUGCGGGACGUGUCCCGUUUUGUAUGUACUUUAUGAAUAAGGAUCGGCUAACUCCGUGCCAGCAGCCGCGGUAAUACGGAGGAUCCGAGCGUUAUCCGGAUUUAUUGGGUUUAAAGGGAGCGUAGAUGGGUUGUUAAGUCAGUUGUGAAAGUUUGCGGCUCAACCGUAAAAUUGCAAUUGAUACUGGCAGUCUGGAGUACAGUUGAGGUAGGCGGAAUUCGUGGUGUAGCGGUGAAAUGCAUAGAUAUCACGCAGAACUCCGAUUGCGAAGGCAGCAUACCGGCGCCCGACUGACGCUGAGGCACGAAAGCGUGGGGAUCGAACAGGAUUAGAUACCCCAGUAGUC